CCAAAUGAGUGUGUGAUGUAUCACAAUCAAACCAAAGUAGAAAAUACCAACUAUUGCAAAUUAAUUUAGUUUUCUUGAACAAUAGUAGGGAUAGUCGAUUUUUGGUGACUUAAUCGUUAUCUGUCAUUUGCGUGUUGGAAAAGGUUCAAAUUGCAACUUGACAUUACAACAGAAAUGUUUGAAUUUAAUUGUGCUUCAAAUUUGCCACAAUACGCUCUUUUUUGCAUUUUUUAGUCAAUAAAACACUCAAACAGACAAGGCGUGCGUUUUUCUUCACUACCAGGACCCAGAAACUUCGCAUUAACUCCAGCAAUAGAGGCAUACAGUUAUCUAUUGGAAUUUUUGAAAACAAUAGGAGUCCAGAAAUUGCAGACCCAUAUAUCUUGGAUAUUUUGACUAUCAUUAAUUAUACCAAUAGUCAAAUUUAUAUGAGCUUAAGUAAACGACUGAAAAUCUGCAUUGCAUUAAUAUGUACACUGUACAUAGAGUAGUUACUACAGCCCAAAUACAGACAGCUGCAGGCAACACAUUUACUUCUGCCUCAAGUGUUUCAAGCGUUGUCAGUGCUGUUCGUAAUGAAACGGAAGUGAGCAGUAUAUUAGCACCAAUUGCAACAAAAACUUCAACGGGGAGCAGUAUUGCUGGUGAUAUUCCUGAUGGUAUAAAUAUAAUGUGCGAUACUGGUAGUCACCUACAUGCAUCGGCAGGAACGACACAUAUACGAGGUAUAUCAGCCUCCAAUUCGAACAAUAUGCUGAAUGCCUCGAAGACCGGUGAAACAACACAUGUGCCGUUGUUGAAUUUUUCGUCAAAGUCCAUUUCUAGUUAUUCGAACAAUUUGAAGACUUCUACACAUGUAUCGAGAUCACUGCAAAAUGUGAUACCAACUUGCGUCUACCUGAUGUCUCGUAUCGCAGUUCAUAUGGAAAUUGAAGGGACUGAGCAGUGUCCCUCGCAGGUUAUGUUAGCCGCGGCAUUAGGAUGUGAGGAGUUGGGAAUAGCAAACAAAUUACUUGCCCAAAGUAUAUUUGGACUUUGGAUGACCAGUGCGCUUCUUGAAAUUCAACUUAAAGCUCACCACCGGCCAUAUGUGGUUCGUGCUUCUUGGCAAAACUUAUUGGAAAAAUUCAGUCAUGCCAACCGUAUCGAAAAAAGGUUUGACGAGCCAAUGGUGAUGCUGAAGCGAAAUGUUUUCUUCUCAAGAAAGGACGAGGAAAAAAUUAAAGAUCACAGGAUUUUGGAAUUGCUGUAUGAGGAGGCUAAAUACAAUGUGAUAUCUGGACGAUAUGUAAUGGAAUCAGUUCAUGCACUUAUGUUAGGAGGAAUUCAGGCCCGUAUUGAGCUGGGGCCUUUCAAUUCCCAUUCUCAUACAAAUGGAUUUUUCAGGGAAAAUCAAUUGAGAUUUUUACCGCAGCAUGUUGCUAAAAACUCAAGUCUGUCGUGGCUUCCCAUCAGUCGGAAAAACUCGGCGGAAGUAAGACUUUUAGAGCAAUACAAACGAGUACCGCAAACUGCAACAUCAAGAAAAUUAAUGCGAAAAUAUUUGGAAUUCUGCUGGGCUCUUCCAUUUUAUGGGUCAGCUUUUUUUCAUGGCCAAAUAGAACAACCGGUACGAGGUAUAAUAAGUUUUAUCACUCACAAGGACAGUGACGUAUUGAUAGCAGUUAAUGAGAGAGGAGUCUUUGUCAUAGAUACAAUGGAAUCGACUUUAUUGAUAGGUUUGCGAUACGAAGAUCUAUCUUGGGAUUAUGCAAAACCGAGUGCUACAGAUGACCCGUUGUGUAUCACAUGUAUAUUUCUUCAGUUUCAGGUCAUGGAGAAUGGAAUUCAAAUUUCAAAGCUUAUGCAAAUAUUUACGAAGCAAGCUUCAAUGAUUGAUGCACUAAUAGCCCACUUUACAGAAUACACAAAAAAGAGGCGGAGUCUCGAACUCGAUGAACCAAACCCUAUUCAAAGCAAUGGUAACGGAAUAUUGUCGAAUAAACUAUCUCGGUUAACUCUGGCAACAUUUGACGAUGAAGGUCGAUGCAUUGGACAAAUGGGAUCAAUUUCAAUCAGUUAUUAAAUAUAUAUUUUUUGAAGACACUUUUUCAAAGGUGAACCCAUGGCACAUUUUAGCUCAGCCAGUUGACACCGCGGGAGAUUUGAUGAAGGAAGACCAAGAAAAGCCUGGAUUUUGCAAAUCUCAUGUGAAAAGAGGCCAACAAAUCCGAAAAUUCACCAAUGCAAAGUUUGCUGGAGAUACCACUCUCCGGUUCUGUAAGUAGUUCUUGCAGAUGAAAGCCGCCGAGCGCAAACAUGUCGUAGGCAAACACAAUUAUUGUUCUAAUUACUUGCUGAGUCAUAAUUUACGACGCUGUACUUCCCAACUUACUUGCAGAAACUGUGGAGAUUGCCAUCACACGCUGCUGCAUCAUACUUUGCAUCCUCGAAUCAAAUCAGAACCAACGAAAAUCCAUCCAAGUACCCAUCGCCAAACAAAAAGUGGACGCACCAAAUUGAAGGGCACCAGAAAACCUCCCUCACAACCUAAUCAACGGCCAAGCAACCAAAUUUAACUUAUUCCAUCCGAUCAGCAACAAAUCAUCACCACAGCCGUUAAAUCUUCAGCUACUUUACUUGUUUAAAUCUCUAUUUUUUGCAUUCCUGCAAAGAACUCCAGUAUUUAUUUAUUUAUUUUGAAGUACAACAAGUUUUACAACUUAUAUUUGUAGUAAUACCCAUAAUGUGUAAUUUACAAUAUUAGAGGUCAUUUCUGAUAAAUUGUGCUUAUAGAAAACUAAUUGCAACGUAUUAAUAAAGACAAAUGUAUAUGAAUAUUAAUUAAACCUUAUAAAAAAACACUAUAUUUACUUCAAACGAUAUUUAAAAAAACAAAAAUAAUUUAGUACAAUCUGAAAAAUAAUUUUACCUAAAAAAAAUUAUUGAAAUAAAGAAUUAGUAAAAAAAAGUAAUUCCCAAAAUCGUUAAAUAUUUAAACAUUAGUCCAACAAAGUGAAGGAGUUUUGAAGCUUAUAAUUAAAAGUAGUGGCAUUUGGAUAUUUCUCAAGGGUAUUAUAAGGGAGUUCCAGAGACGAAUUACAUACAUAAAAAACUGUCUAUCAGAGACUAGACGACUUCCGAACUGUAUCAAGCAGUUUGUUCUCAAGGAACGUGAAAAUAUCAGAAAGAUAUUCAGAUUUACGUGUAAAUAUUAUCUCAUGCAAGGCAACCAAACUACGCUGAUACAAUAUCCUUGCAAAAUCCAUCUUAUAAAAUUGAUAAGCUAGGAGUGACUCGCUGCUGGAACGUUUUGCCUUAUAUACAAAUCUGACAAUGUCGUUUUCAAGUAGUUUUAAUUAAUUCUUAUAGGCAUUAUCACAGUUAGCAUAUAUCUAUGAUUAUGUCCAAAACAAUAAACUGUUUAAAUUUCCAUUUAAUCUUAUUGAAUUCUUCGAAAUGUAAA
Molecule: RNA transcript, 3445 nt
Organism: Stomoxys calcitrans (stable fly)
Lineage: Eukaryota; Metazoa; Arthropoda; Insecta; Diptera; Muscidae
Gene: Bili
Gene name: putative FERM domain-containing protein FRMD8P1
Exons: 14
Source: RefSeq, a predicted model, not a curated record